GUACUAACUUCAGCAGCACAUAUACGAAAAUUGGAAUGAUAUAGAGAAGAUUAGCAUGGCCUCUGUGCAAGGAUGACAUUCAAAUUUGUGAAGCAUUCCAUAUUUUU
Heterocephalus glaber (naked mole-rat) is the source of this 107-nucleotide small nuclear RNA. The record is from Ensembl. NCBI's taxonomy places the organism in Eukaryota, Metazoa, Chordata, Mammalia, Rodentia, Bathyergidae.